GAUGAACGCUGACAGAAUGCUUAACACAUGCAAGUCGAUGGGGAAGUGGUGCUUGCACCAUGGUAACCAUGGCGGACGGGUGAGUAACGCGUAAGGAACUUGCCUGCGGGACUGGGAUAACAGCAGGAAACUGCUGAUAAUACCGGAUAAGGUCAUUAAGCUGCAUAGCUUAGUGAUGAAAGGAGACGCCUGCGGAGAGCCUUGCGUCCUAUUAGCUAGUUGGAGGGGUAACGGCCCACCAAGGCGAAGAUAGGGAGCCGGCCUGAGAGGGUGGACGGCCACAAGGGGACUGAGAUGCGGCCCUUACUCCUACGGGAGGCAGCAGUGGGGAAUAUUGGACAAUGGGGGCAACCCUGAUCCAGCAAUUCUGUGUGCACGAAGACGGUUUUCGGAUUGUAAAGUGCUUUCAGCAGGGAAGAAGGAAGUGACGGUACCUGCAGAAGAAGCGACGGCUAAAUACGUG
Molecule: ribosomal RNA, 463 nt
Filed under: uncultured bacterium
Lineage: Bacteria
Description: partial 16S ribosomal RNA
Rfam family: Bacterial small subunit ribosomal RNA
Source: RNAcentral